RNAcentral lists this ribosomal RNA (2925 nucleotides) under Enterobacter cloacae. Its description in RNAcentral is "23S ribosomal RNA". It matches the Rfam family "Bacterial large subunit ribosomal RNA". Lineage: Bacteria; Pseudomonadati; Pseudomonadota; Gammaproteobacteria; Enterobacterales; Enterobacteriaceae. The record is from RNAcentral.
GGGUUGUGAGGUUAAGCGACUAAGCGUACACGGUGGAUGCCCUGGCAGUCAGAGGCGAUGAAGGACGUGCUAAUCUGCGAAAAGCGCCGGCGAGGUGAUAUGAACCCUUGACCCGGCGAUGUCCGAAUGGGGAAACCCAGUGCAAUUCGUUGCACUAUCGUUAGCUGAAUACAUAGGCUAACGAGGCGAACCGGGGGAACUGAAACAUCUAAGUACCCCGAGGAAAAGAAAUCAACCGAGAUUCCCCCAGUAGCGGCGAGCGAACGGGGAGCAGCCCGGAGUCUGAAUCAGCUUGUGUGUUAGUGGAACGGUCUGGAAAGUCCGACGGUACAGGGUGAUAGUCCCGUACACGAAAGCACACAUGCUGUGAACUCGAAGAGUAGGGCGGGACACGUGGUAUCCUGUCUGAAUAUGGGGGGACCAUCCUCCAAGGCUAAAUACUCCUGACUGACCGAUAGUGAACCAGUACCGUGAGGGAAAGGCGAAAAGAACCCCGGCGAGGGGAGUGAAAAAGAACCUGAAACCGUGUACGUACAAGCAGUGGGAGCCUCUUUAUGGGGUGACUGCGUACCUUUUGUAUAAUGGGUCAGCGACUUAUAUUCUGUAGCAAGGUUAACCGUAUAGGGGAGCCGAAGGGAAACCGAGUCUUAACUGGGCGUUAAGUUGCAGGGUAUAGACCCGAAACCCGGUGAUCUAGCCAUGGGCAGGUUGAAGGUUGGGUAACACUAACUGGAGGACCGAACCGACUAAUGUUGAAAAAUUAGCGGAUGACCUGUGGCUGGGGGUGAAAGGCCAAUCAAACCGGGAGAUAGCUGGUUCUCCCCGAAAGCUAUUUAGGUAGCGCCUCGUGAACUCAUCUUCGGGGGUAGAGCACUGUUUCGGCUAGGGGGCCAUCCCGGCUUACCAACCCGAUGCAAACUACGAAUACCGAAGAAUGUUAUCACGGGAGACACACGGCGGGUGCUAACGUCCGUCGUGAAGAGGGAAACAACCCAGACCGCCAGCUAAGGUCCCAAAGUCAUGGUUAAGUGGGAAACGAUGUGGGAAGGCACAGACAGCCAGGAUGUUGGCUUAGAAGCAGCCAUCAUUUAAAGAAAGCGUAAUAGCUCACUGGUCGAGUCGGCCUGCGCGGAAGAUGUAACGGGGCUAAACCAUGCACCGAAGCUGCGGCAGCGACACUAUGUGUUGUUGGGUAGGGGAGCGUUCUGUAAGCCGUUGAAGGUGUGCUGUGAGGCAUGCUGGAGGUAUCAGAAGUGCGAAUGCUGACAUAAGUAACGAUAAAGCGGGUGAAAAGCCCGCUCGCCGGAAGACCAAGGGUUCCUGUCCAACGUUAAUCGGGGCAGGGUGAGUCGACCCCUAAGGCGAGGCCGAAAGGCGUAGUCGAUGGGAAACAGGUUAAUAUUCCUGUACUUGGUGUUACUGCGAAGGGGGGACGGAGAAGGCUAUGUUAGCCGGGCGACGGUUGUCCCGGUUUAAGCAUGUAGGCGGAGGUUCCAGGUAAAUCCGGUACCUUUUAACGCUGAGGUGUGAUGACGAGGCACUACGGUGCUGAAGUAACAAAUGCCCUGCUUCCAGGAAAAGCCUCUAAGCAUCAGGUAACACGAAAUCGUACCCCAAACCGACACAGGUGGUCAGGUAGAGAAUACCAAGGCGCUUGAGAGAACUCGGGUGAAGGAACUAGGCAAAAUGGUGCCGUAACUUCGGGAGAAGGCACGCUGAUAUGUAGGUGAAGCCCCUGCGGGUGGAGCUGAAAUCAGUCGAAGAUACCAGCUGGCUGCAACUGUUUAUUAAAAACACAGCACUGUGCAAACACGAAAGUGGACGUAUACGGUGUGACGCCUGCCCGGUGCCGGAAGGUUAAUUGAUGGGGUUAGCGGCAACGCGAAGCUCUUGAUCGAAGCCCCGGUAAACGGCGGCCGUAACUAUAACGGUCCUAAGGUAGCGAAAUUCCUUGUCGGGUAAGUUCCGACCUGCACGAAUGGCGUAAUGAUGGCCAGGCUGUCUCCACCCGAGACUCAGUGAAAUUGAACUCGCUGUGAAGAUGCAGUGUACCCGCGGCAAGACGGAAAGACCCCGUGAACCUUUACUAUAGCUUGACACUGAACACUGGUCCUUGAUGUGUAGGAUAGGUGGGAGGCUUUGAAGCGUGGACGCCAGUCUGCGUGGAGCCAACCUUGAAAUACCACCCUUUAAUGGCUGGUGUUCUAACGUAGACCCGUAAUCCGGGUUGCGGACAGUGUCUGGUGGGUAGUUUGACUGGGGCGGUCUCCUCCCAAAGAGUAACGGAGGAGCACGAAGGUUGGCUAAUCCUGGUCGGACAUCAGGAGGUUAGUGCAAUGGCAUAAGCCAGCUUGACUGCGAGCGUGACGGCGCGAGCAGGUGCGAAAGCAGGUCAUAGUGAUCCGGUGGUUCUGAAUGGAAGGGCCAUCGCUCAACGGAUAAAAGGUACUCCGGGGAUAACAGGCUGAUACCGCCCAAGAGUUCAUAUCGACGGCGGUGUUUGGCACCUCGAUGUCGGCUCAUCACAUCCUGGGGCUGAAGUAGGUCCCAAGGGUAUGGCUGUUCGCCAUUUAAAGUGGUACGCGAGCUGGGUUUAGAACGUCGUGAGACAGUUCGGUCCCUAUCUGCCGUGGGCGCUGGAGAAUUGAGGGGGGCUGCUCCUAGUACGAGAGGACCGGAGUGGACGCAUCACUGGUGUUCGGGUUGUCAUGCCAAUGGCACUGCCCGGUAGCUAAAUGCGGAAGAGAUAAGUGCUGAAAGCAUCUAAGCACGAAACUUGCCCCGAGAUGAGUUCUCCCUGAGACUUUAAGUCUCCUGAAGGAACGUUGAAGACGACGACGUUGAUAGGUCGGGUGUGUAAGCGCAGCGAUGCGUUGAGCUAACCGAUACUAAUGAACCGUGAGGCUUAACCUUACAACGCCGAAG